GAUGAACGCUGGCGGCGUGCCUAAUACAUGCAAGUCGAGCGAACGGACGAGAAGCUUGCUUCUCUGAUGUUAGCGGCGGACGGGUGAGUAACACGUGGAUAACCUACCUAUAAGACUGGGAUAACUUCGGGAAACCGGAGCUAAUACCGGAUAAUAUUUUGAACCGCAUGGUUCAAAAGUGAAAGGCGGUCUUGCUGUCACUUAUAGAUGGAUCCGCGCUGCAUUAGCUAGUUGGUAAGGUAACGGCUUAACAAGGCAACGAUGCAUAGCCGACCUGAAAAGGUGAUCGGCCACACUGGAACUGAGACACGGUCCAGACCCCUACGGAAGGCAGCAGUAGGGAAUCUUCCGCAAUGGGCGAAAGCCUGACGGAGCAACGCCGCGUGAGUGAUGAAGGUCUUCGGACCGUAAAACUCUGUUAUUAGGGAAGAACAUAUGUGUAAGUAACUGUGCACAUCUUGACGGUACCUAAUCAGAAAGCCACGGCUAACUACGUG
RNAcentral lists this ribosomal RNA (497 nucleotides) under uncultured bacterium. RNAcentral describes it as "partial 16S ribosomal RNA". It matches the Rfam family "Bacterial small subunit ribosomal RNA", at positions 28 to 507 of the family's 1533-position model. The record is from RNAcentral.